This 253-nucleotide ribosomal RNA is filed under the name uncultured bacterium. RNAcentral's name for it is "partial 16S ribosomal RNA". It matches the Rfam family "Bacterial small subunit ribosomal RNA", at positions 524 to 776 of the family's 1533-position model. The record is from RNAcentral.
UACAGAGGUCUCAAGCGUUGUUCGGAUUCAUUGGGCGUAAAGGGUGCGUAGGCGGCGCGGUAAGUCGGGUGUGAAAUCUUGGAGCUUAACUCCGAAAUUGCAUUCGAUACUGCCGUGCUUGAGGACUGGAGAGGAGACUGGAAUUUACGGUGUAGCGGUGAAAUGCGUAGAUAUCGUAAGGAAGACCAGUGGCGAAGGCGGGUCUCUGGACAGUUCCUGACGCUGAGGCACGAAGGCCAGGGGAGCAAACGGG